This 146-nucleotide unclassified non-coding RNA is filed under the name plant metagenome. Its description in RNAcentral is "partial contains 5.8S ribosomal RNA, internal transcribed spacer 2, and large subunit ribosomal RNA". The record is from RNAcentral.
AAGGAUUUGUACCUGCGCAUUACCCAGCCAGGAGGCACGGUUGCGGGAAAUCCCACCAAUGGCUCAGGCUCGACCACUGGUGCCAACGGUGAUCGUAUUGACUACACCCUGCAAAAGGCGAUCUCUCUGCGACAGGGUGAGCGGGU